RNAcentral lists this long non-coding RNA (456 nucleotides) under Homo sapiens (human). RNAcentral describes it as "HSALNT0374853". Lineage: Eukaryota; Metazoa; Chordata; Mammalia; Primates; Hominidae. The record is from RNAcentral.
AUAAAAUGAGAGGAAAAGAGCACCUGAUCGGGCUGACAUCAAGAGAUCACAAGUGUUUGCAGGUUUUCCAGAGUGUUUAGGAAUAAAAGAGCAGUGAGUCAAAGUGUGUGGAAGAAGGAGCAGGAGCAGAGGAAAAGGUGUUGGUCCCAGCGGGUGGGAAAGAAUUAACAGUGCGGAGAGUAGGGGGGAGGAAGGAGAAUUCUCUGCCCUGACAAAAAAGGUGAGCUUCCAGAAACCUGGGACCUCAGUGAACUUGCAAGACGCCUCUAAUAAAGAGAAGCAGCAUGACUUCGCUGGGGAAAGACGUGCAGUACCUCGCCACUGUGUAGUGUUCCUACCGUACAGACACCACAGACACGAUUAACCUCGAGAGCAUAGAUAUUAGGAAGAGGAAAACAACUGAGGAAAACUGUUGAAGUGAUGAAGAAGGAGGUUACCUUCUAGGACUCCCCCGGU